RNAcentral lists this ribosomal RNA (528 nucleotides) under Triticum aestivum (bread wheat). RNAcentral describes it as "partial small subunit ribosomal RNA". Lineage: Eukaryota; Viridiplantae; Streptophyta; Magnoliopsida; Poales; Poaceae. The record is from RNAcentral.
AUGCGUAUGAAGGGUUUUAGUGAAACCUGGAGGAACCAAGUAGAUACUCAAGUCCAGAAGGGUAGUGUCGGAAUUAAGGUGAAUGAUGACAUCGGUCACUACUUCCAGACGCAUAAGGGGUUGAGACAAGGGGAUUCCAUGUCACCUCUUCUGUUCAAUAUUGUGGCAGAUAUGUUGGCCAUCAUUAUUGGCAGGGCUAAGCAGCAUGGUCAUGUAGAGGGUCUAGUUCCUCAUCUAGUAGAUGGAGGGGUGUCCAUUCUACAAUAUGCUGAUGAUACUAUUCUUUUCAUGGAACAUGACUUGGCUAAGGCACGAAACAUGAAACUUAUCUUAUGUCUUUUCGAACAAUUGUCUGGCUUAAAAAUUAAUUUUCAUAAGAGCGAGGUGUUCUGCUUUGGGAAAGCCAAAGGCGAGGAACAUACAUACAGACAGUUGUUUGGAUGCGAUUUAGGUGCUUUACCAUUCAGUUAUUUGGGUAUUCCGAUUCAUCACCGUAAGCUGUCCAAUAAAGAAUGGAAAUGUAUUGAA